GCCCUCAUAGUUCAACGGAUAGAACGCGCGCCUCCUAAGUGUGAAAUGCAGGUUCAAUUCCCGCUGGGGGCACCA
Molecule: transfer RNA, 75 nt
Filed under: candidate division WWE3 bacterium
Lineage: Bacteria; candidate division WWE3
Description: tRNA-Arg
Rfam family: tRNA
About the family: Transfer RNA (tRNA) molecules are approximately 80 nucleotides in length. Their secondary structure includes four short double-helical elements and three loops (D, anti-codon, and T loops).
Source: RNAcentral